GACGAACGCUGGCGGCGUGCCUAAUACAUGCAAGUCGAGCGGACAGAAGUUGGAUGCCAGAGGUCAGAAGCUUGGACUUCUCGAGGAAGUUUGAUUGUUCAUCUAUGAAGAUGACUUUCAUCUUACUUCCGGCUUCCGGCAUCCGACUUCUGUUAGCGGCGGACGGGUGAGUAACACGUGGGCAACCUGCCUGUAAGACCGGGAUAACUUGCGGAAACGUGAGCUAAUACCGGAUAAUGAUUUCUGCCGCAUGACAGGAAUCUGAAAGACGGCGCAAGCUGUCACUUACAGAUGGGCCCGCGGCGCAUUAGCUAGUUGGUGGGGUAACGGCCUACCAAGGCGACGAUGCGUAGCCGACCUGAGAGGGUGAUCGGCCACACUGGGACUGAGACACGGCCCAGACUCCUACGGGAGGCAGCAGUAGGGAAUCUUCCGCAAUGGACGAAAGUCUGACGGAGCAACGCCGCGUGAGCGAAGAAGGUCUUCGGAUCGUAAAGCUCUGUUGUCAGGGAAGAACAAGUACGAGAGUAACUGCUCGUACCUUGACGGUACCUGACCAGAAAGCCACGGCUAACUAC
This 578-nucleotide ribosomal RNA is filed under the name uncultured Bacillota bacterium. RNAcentral's name for it is "bacterial SSU rRNA". It matches the Rfam family "Bacterial small subunit ribosomal RNA", at positions 28 to 504 of the family's 1533-position model. Lineage: Bacteria; Bacillati; Bacillota. The record is from RNAcentral.